Lycium ferocissimum is the source of this 1550-nucleotide long non-coding RNA. RefSeq lists it as uncharacterized. The record is from RefSeq and is a predicted model, not a curated record. The transcript has 2 exons. Lineage: Eukaryota; Viridiplantae; Streptophyta; Magnoliopsida; Solanales; Solanaceae.
GUUCUCCGCCAACUCAGAAACAUUCAGCGAAGUAGAAUGAAACUUAAAUCAUUUAUUGUCAUCAUAAUAAAAAAGGGGGAGAUUGUUAGUGUUUACUUUCAAUGAUGACAUAUAUAAUGUUGCACAUUGUGCACGAAAAAUAAAGUCAUCAACACAAAAAAGAAAGAUAGCUUGAUCAUAAAUCAAGAAGGCAAAAUCAGGAAUGAGUCAAUUAAAGAAGACAGAGAAGGAAAGGUCGACUCCAUCAAGGAAGUCAAUGAAAGGAAGAGGAUCAAUCAGAAGACUGAAUCACAGAUGCAAAGGAAGGAGCGCAUAUAUCAACAAAGUCGAAGAAAUAUGGAGAUCAAUCAGAAGUACCAAUCGCGAAUACAAAGGAAGGAAACAAGUAAAUCUGACAGAAUCAGAAGCCUCAAUUGCGGACACAAGGAAAGGAAACAAAAAUAAGUCACCAAGAUGAAGACAACCAGAAGAAGGUAAGAGAUCUAAGAGAUCUGAAAUAGCACAUCAGUUAUGAAGAUUCAAAGUCGGCGACCAUAAAGCCCGGACCUUAUUCUUGGGAAAAGAUCAAUCAAUCCUUUUUCCAAGGAUCAAAUCUCUUGGGUUGCAUCUCUCUGUCCAUCCUUAGGACUCCAGGAAUCAAGCAAAUAUAUUGACGAAGAAAGAAGAUGAAGCACAUACAUCUGUCUAGUCAUUCUAAAGUUAUUUGUUCUACUCUUAAUAAGCAUUGUAAUUCACUCUAGUUGACUUACUGAGUACACAAAAGAGGGAAGAGAGAUAGAAAUCUAUUUGUGAGGCAUUGUAUCAAUUAUUUACUAGAGAAACAAGGUUAAGCAGAAAGCUGGUGUGUGCGUAGGAAACUCACCCUCAGAGUUGUAAUUAAGAUCACGAUAAGAACUUGAAUCCAAACCAAUAAGAAAACAUCGAGUGUUGUUUCAAUUUCUGCUAUCUGUUUAUAUCCGUCUCGCUGCUUACAUAAGAGUCGACUAACAACACACUCUAGUCGACUGAAAAAGAAAGGAUUAUAAUUCACCCACCCCCUCUUGUACUUUCCAUUUAUAAUAAUACAUAGCUCAUGACUAUGAGUUCUUAAAUUAGUACAAUCACUACAACUGAAGAACCAAGAAGACAAAAUGUGAGGAGCUUAAAAACGCAGUGAAUAGAUAACCAUCCAUAACUAUUGAAAACAGAGAAUUACAAAAUAACAUGUUACGCAGUACUGCAUAAUAAAAGGUGGAUACUAAAAGUCUUGACUGAAAAUAAAUCUCUCUUUUAUACCGAUAGCUGAAAUUGUUUCAGAAACUACAUCUGAUAUUGUCGUAUAGAAAUCAUAUUAUAAUCUCUAUCACAUCUAUAAUGAAUUCUGUGCUAUAUUUGUCUAGGCAUAUAUCCAUAAGCCUCGUGUGUACAUUAUCUAACAAUAUUUCAAUAUCUAUUUAGCCAACCCGAUCGACUAGGUAUUCAACCUAAAUCUUUUCCGUAUGACUUACACAAAAAAAAACUAUUAUCCCUUUCCAUAUGAAACAGCCAGUUGGCUAUCUGAAUAGCCAAUC